RNAcentral lists this ribosomal RNA (235 nucleotides) under uncultured bacterium. RNAcentral's name for it is "partial 16S ribosomal RNA". It matches the Rfam family "Bacterial small subunit ribosomal RNA", at positions 15 to 238 of the family's 1533-position model. The record is from RNAcentral.
GAUCAUGGCUCAGGACGAACGCUGGCGGCGUGCCUAAUACAUGCAAGUCGAACGAGAGCGACCGGUGCUUGCACUGGUCAAUCUAGUGGCGAACGGGUGAGUAACACGUGGGUAACCUGCCCAUCAGAGGGGGAUAACAUUCGGAGACGGAUGCUAAAACCGCAUAGGUCUUCAAACCGCAUGGUUUGAAGAGGAAAAGAGGCGCAAGCUUCUGCUGAUGGAUGGACCCGCGGUG